AAGAAGAACAAGAAGGACGAGGGCUGCUUUACUUGUGGUUCGGUUGAACAUUGGGCCAACAAGUGCCCAAACAAGUACAAGAAGUCAGGACAGGACUCCAAGUCUGUCAACAUGAUUGUGGGCAACAAUGAGAAUGGUGCAUCUGGGUACAGUAAUUUAUUUACUGUUUUUUCAGUGUUUCAACCCAACGAUUGGUGGGUGGACACAGGUGCAGGUGUUCAUGUGUGUGCUGACAUUUCAUUGUUCACUUCUUACCAGGUCACAGGUCACGGGUCCGUAUUGAUGGGGAAUGGCGCGAGUGCUUCUGUUCAUGGUGUUGGCACGGUCGAUUUGAAGUUUACUUCGGGAAGGAUCGUGCAGCUGAAGAACGUGCAGCAUGUCCCCGCCAUCAAGAAGAACCUCGUUAGUGGCUCCCUUCUAUGUAGAGAAGGGUUUAAGUUGGUUUUC
This 447-nucleotide ribosomal RNA is filed under the name Triticum aestivum (bread wheat). Its description in RNAcentral is "partial small subunit ribosomal RNA". Lineage: Eukaryota; Viridiplantae; Streptophyta; Magnoliopsida; Poales; Poaceae. The record is from RNAcentral.